RNAcentral lists this unclassified non-coding RNA (327 nucleotides) under soil metagenome. RNAcentral's name for it is "partial contains 5.8S ribosomal RNA, internal transcribed spacer 2, and large subunit ribosomal RNA". The stretch from base 1 to 120 matches the Rfam family "5.8S ribosomal RNA", at positions 35 to 154 of the family's 154-position model. The record is from RNAcentral.
GAUGAAGAACGUAGCGAAAUGCGAUAAGUAAUGUGAAUUGCAGAAUUCAGUGAAUCAUCGAAUCUUUGAACGCACAUUGCGCCCCUUGGUAUUCCGAGGGGCAUGCCUGUUCGAGCGUCAUUAUCACCCCUCAAGCUUUGCUUGGUGUUGGGGCCUGCUGUAAUAGGCAGCCCUUAAAAUCAGUGGCGGUGCUUCAAGGCCCUAAGCGUAGUAAUUCUCCUCGCUAUAGUGUCUAGUGGUUGCCAGCCAGAACCCCCCAAUUUUCAUGAUUGACCUCGGAUCAGGUAGGGAUACCCGCUGAACUUAAGCAUAUCAAUAAGCGGAGGA